This 226-nucleotide non-coding RNA is filed under the name Blautia sp. RNAcentral's name for it is "T-box sequence". It matches the Rfam family "T-box leader". Rfam says of the family: Uncharged tRNA acts as the effector for transcription antitermination of genes in the T-box leader family. T-boxes are found upstream of many aminoacyl-tRNA synthetase genes and some amino acid biosynthetic genes usually in Gram-positive bacteria. Lineage: Bacteria; Bacillati; Bacillota; Clostridia; Lachnospirales; Lachnospiraceae. The record is from RNAcentral.
AGAAAGGCUGGGAAAAAGAGGAGUAUGUCUGUACUGCCAAAAGAGAGAAACGUUCUCAGGCUGAAAGACGUUUCGGGAGAAGGCAGGCAAAAAGUAGCUUUGGAGCCGGGGGAUUGAAGGUGGACACUGUGUAGAUUCCCACGUAGAAUUCCGCGUUAAGGAAUGGAAAGAUGAAGUUUGGGAAAACUUCAAAGAAGGUGGUACCGCGUUUUUUAUCGCCCUUCAC